Molecule: ribosomal RNA, 443 nt
Filed under: uncultured bacterium
Lineage: Bacteria
Description: partial 16S ribosomal RNA
Rfam family: Bacterial small subunit ribosomal RNA
Source: RNAcentral
CCUACGGGAGGCAGCAGUGGGGGAUAUUGGACAAUGGGGGAAACCCUGAUCCAGCGACGCCGCGUGAGUGAAGACGUCUUUCCGUGUGUAAAGCUCUAUCAGCAAGGAAGAAAGAAAUGACGCUACCUGCGUAAGAAGCCCCGGCUAACUACGGGCCAGCAGCCGCGGCAAUACGUGGGGGGCAAGCGUUAUCCGGAAUUCCUGGGUGUAAAGGGAGCGUAGACGGUACUGCAAGUCUGGAGGGAAAGGCGGGGGCCCAACCCCCGGACUGCUGUGGAAACUGUGUGACUGGAGUGCGGGAGAGGCAGGCGGAAUGGGUAGUGUAGCGGUGAAAUGCGUAGAUAUUAGGAGGAACACCGGGGGCGAAGGCGGCCUGCUGGACUGUAACUGACGUUGAGGCUCGAAAGCGUGGGGAGCGAACAGGAUUAGAUACCCGUGUAGUC